Molecule: ribosomal RNA, 462 nt
Filed under: uncultured bacterium
Lineage: Bacteria
Description: partial 16S ribosomal RNA
Rfam family: Bacterial small subunit ribosomal RNA
Source: RNAcentral
GACGAACGCUGGCGGCGUGCUUAACACAUGCAAGUCGAGCGGUAAGGCCCUUCGGGGUUCACGUGCUGGGAAGGGGAGCGGAAGAGGAGGGUGAUAGGCCCCGCACUUCGGGUUUAGGAUGGGAAACUGGGUCUAAUACUAGAUACGACCCCGUAUCGCUGGGUGGGUGGUGGAGAGAUUUAUCGGCGGGGGAUGGGCACGCGGCCGAUCAGCUUGUUGGUGGGGUAAUGGCCUACCAAGGCGACGGCGGGUAGCCGACCUGAGAGGGUGACCGGCCACACUGGGACUGAGACACGGCCCAGACUCCUACGGGAGGCAGCAGUGGGGAAUAUUGCACAAUGGGCGGAAGCCUGAUGCAGCGACGCCGCGUGCGGGAUGACGGCCUUCGGGUUGUAAACCGCUUUCGGCAGGGACGAAGCGUGAGUGACGGUACCGGCUAAAGAAGCACCGGCUAACUACGUG